Molecule: ribosomal RNA, 1087 nt
Rfam family: Bacterial small subunit ribosomal RNA
AAGUCGAACGAUGAAGCCCAGCUUGCUGGGUGGAUUAGUGGCGAACGGGUGAGUAACACGUGAGUAACCUGCCCUUAACUCUGGGAUAAGCCUGGGAAACUGGGUCUAAUACCGGAUAGGAGCGCCUACCGCAUGGUGGGUGUUGGAAAGAUUUAUCGGUUUUGGAUGGACUCGCGGCCUAUCAGCUUGUUGGUGAGGUAAUGGCUCACCAAGGCGACGACGGGUAGCCGGCCUGAGAGGGUGACCGGCCACACUGGGACUGAGACACGGCCCAGACUCCUACGGGAGGCAGCAGUGGGGAAUAUUGCACAAUGGGCGAAAGCCUGAUGCAGCGACGCCGCGUGAGGGAUGACGGCCUUCGGGUUGUAAACCUCUUUCAGUAGGGAAGAAGCGAAAGUGACGGUACCUGCAGAAGAAGCACCGGCUAACUACGUGCCAGCAGCCGCGGUAAUACGUAGGGUGCGAGCGUUAUCCGGAAUUAUUGGGCGUAAAGAGCUCGUAGGCGGUUUGUCGCGUCUGUCGUGAAAGUCCGGGGCUUAACCCCGGAUCUGCGGUGGGUACGGGCAGACUAGAGUGCAGUAGGGGAGACUGGAAUUCCUGGUGUAGCGGUGGAAUGCGCAGAUAUCAGGAGGAACACCGAUGGCGAAGGCAGGUCUCUGGGCUGUAACUGACGCUGAGGAGCGAAAGCAUGGGGAGCGAACAGGAUUAGAUACCCUGGUAGUCCAUGCCGUAAACGUUGGGCACUAGGUGUGGGGACCAUUCCACGGUUUCCGCGCCGCAGCUAACGCAUUAAGUGCCCCGCCUGGGGAGUACGGCCGCAAGGCUAAAACUCAAAGGAAUUGACGGGGGCCCGCACAAGCGGCGGAGCAUGCGGAUUAAUUCGAUGCAACGCGAAGAACCUUACCAAGGCUUGACAUGUUCCCGAUCGCCGUAGAGAUACGGUUUCCCCUUUGGGGCGGGUUCACAGGUGGUGCAUGGUUGUCGUCAGCUCGUGUCGUGAGAUGUUGGGUUAAGUCCCGCAACGAGCGCAACCCUCGUUCCAUGUUGCCAGCACGUAAUGGUGGGGACUCAUGGGAGACUGCCGGGG